This 975-nucleotide ribosomal RNA is filed under the name Triticum aestivum (bread wheat). RNAcentral's name for it is "partial small subunit ribosomal RNA". Lineage: Eukaryota; Viridiplantae; Streptophyta; Magnoliopsida; Poales; Poaceae. The record is from RNAcentral.
AUGGAGGCGAGCAAGGGAGGCGAUGGGAGCUCGGGCGCCUCGCCGAGCAACGAUGACAGCACGGUGGAGGAGGAGGGAGCGAGCCGUCAAGAGCAGGAGGACGCCUGCAGGGGGAACUCUUUGUCGUCCUCGUCGGUGCGCCCCUACGUCCGCUCCAAGAACCCGCGCCUCCGCUGGACGCCGGAGCUCCACCACUGCUUCGUCCGCGCCAUUCACAGGCUCGGCGGCCAAGACCGUGCAACUCCGAAGCUCGUUCUUCAGUUGAUGAACGUCAGAGGGCUUAGCAUAGGCCAUGUCAAGAGCCACCUCCAGAUGUAUAGGAGUAAGAAGAUUGAUGACUCAGGCCAGGUCAUAGGUCAUCUCCCCUUGCCCCAUGCCUUCCAUCAUCGCCAGAGUGGCGCCGGCACCAUGUUGUCAAGGUUUGGUGCUGCUGCAUGGCCUCCAUGGAGAAGCUUCCAUGAACCAUAUUGGGCCCAUGGUCGCCCCUUUCUUGGAUCCAAGACCUACAACUCUUUGGAAGCUGAAGCCGAGGCGGCUUUCCUUCGGUCCCGAGCUCAACAUGUAGCUCGGGCUGCAUCUAGCAAUCCGGGAUUGAUGAUGCAGUCAGGCUGUCCAUCUCGGAACGAUCAUCAUACCAUGAACCACCAGCCUAAACGACUGCUGCAACUGACAGUGCGCAAUGACGACGAUACCCAUGUUCUUCUUGAUCUUGAUCUCGGUCUCUCGCUCGGUCUCCCCGUGCCGAUGAGGGAGGCGAAGCGGAGGAGAUCGGGCUGCGGCUGGGUGAAAGAAGGCCCUGAUGAGAAAGGAGCCGAUGAAGAACAAGUGGAUGAGACCAGCACUGCCACUAUGCUAUCUCUGUCCUUGUUCUCUCCUAGGGAUGCUCCUAGGAAGAUGAGUAGUACUAGUGCUAGUGAUCAUGCAGUAGAUGAGCAUGCUACAAGGAGGGCAAGUACUCUUGAUCUCACCAUAUGA